Molecule: ribosomal RNA, 452 nt
Filed under: Corynebacterium coyleae
Lineage: Bacteria; Bacillati; Actinomycetota; Actinomycetes; Mycobacteriales; Corynebacteriaceae
Description: bacterial SSU rRNA
Rfam family: Bacterial small subunit ribosomal RNA
Source: RNAcentral
UUUGUGGAGAGUUUGAUCCUGGCUCAGGAUGAACGCUGGCGGCGUGCUUAACACAUGCAAGUCGAACGGAAAGGCUCCUGCUUGCAGGGGUACUCGAGUGGCGAACGGGUGAGUAACACGUGGGUGAUCUGCCCCGCACUUCGGGAUAAGCCUGGGAAACUGGGUCUAAUACCGGAUAGGACCACUUCUUGGAGGUUGUGGUGGAAAGUUUUUUCGGUGUGGGAUGAGCUCGCGGCCUAUCAGCUUGUUGGUGGGGUAAUGGCCUACCAAGGCGUCGACGGGUAGCCGGCCUGAGAGGGUGUACGGCCACAUUGGGACUGAGAUACGGCCCAGACUCCUACGGGAGGCAGCAGUGGGGAAUAUUGCACAAUGGGCGCAAGCCUGAUGCAGCGACGCCGCGUGGGGGAUGACGGCCUUCGGGUUGUAAACUCCUUUCGCUAGGGACGAAGCGU